GAUGAAGGCAGCGUUGCUGAGAUAAUCCUUCUAAUCUCCUCGGUCUGCAAAUAGCCGGGGUUAGCGGCCACGCAGGUAAACCAUUACCUUAAUGGCUGCUGUUUGUUGGAGCGGAAGGUUAGUCUUGAUUUAGUCUUUUGUACUUGAUGGCCAGGCCAACAGUACAAUGCAACAAGGCAGGCAAAGAAAGGGCUGUUUGUUCUCGUGGGAUGUAAUUAAGGUGUAGUGGUUGGGAGGUGGGAUAACCCAGCCAAACGUCAGGGCAGCGGGGCUGGACAUAGAGAGAAAGGGUCGAGGGGAGAGAGGGCAGCCGACCCGGCCAACAGUCCGCCCGGUCCCCGGACUCCCAGACCCGACCCGGCGGGAAACGGCUGGGACGACAAACGGCAAUAUGUGGUUUGUUGGUGGAGAGUUGCGGUCAGUUUGGAUAGUUUGGAUAGCGUUUAUAUAGUUGAGAGUUUAGAGAGAGAGAUAGUUUGGAGAAGUGAGGAGAGAAGGAUGGCGAUGCCGAUGGUGGGUUUCGGGACAGAGGAUGUUGUAUGUGGACAGACUGUAAAGCCCUCUGAGGCAAAUUUGUAAUUUGCGAAUAUGGGCUAUACAAAAUAAAAUGAAUUUAAUUGAAUUGAAGGACAGGUGAUAAGAUGGAGCCAGCUAGGAAGAGGAGGAUUUCCCCUGUGUGGGGACACUUUGAUUCUAAAGCUGUUCUGGAGUUGGGCUGCAAUAACAACACCUCAUCCAUGCUAAAGGCAUCACCGGGCCUUGCAUGAGAAUACGGAGGAAACUGGACUUUCACCAAGCCAUGGAACCCUCCCUGCCGGAGCUCUCCGGCAAGACAAAGGGUGGAGGAAUCUGCAUCUAUUUCAACAACAGUUGGUGCAACGACGUAACGGUGAUGCUAAAACACUGUUCUCCUGAUCUGGAAACUUUCUUCAUCAACUGCAAACCCUUUUAUUCCCCCCGUGAGUUCGCUUCAUUCAUCCUGUGUUUACAUGCCGCCAGCGGACAACGUGCACGAGGCACAGCGGACACUCGCCGACCAGAUACGGCGUGUGGAGCGGACCAACCCGAACUCUUUAGUUAUAGUCCUUGGGUACUUUAACAAAGGAAAUCUCACCCAUGAACUUCCUAAAUACAGACAGUUUAUUAAAUGCCCCACCAGAGAGGAGAACACGCUGGACCACUGUUACACCACAGUAAGCAGGGCUUAUCACGCCGUCCCUCGUGCUGCACUGGUACACUCUGACCACGUCAUGGUCCAUCUGAUUCCUGCAUAUAGGCAGAAACUAAAGCUCUGCAAACCUGUGGUGAGGGAAUUCAAGAAGUGGACCAGUGAGGCGCUGGAGGAUCUUCGGGCGUGCUUUGACUGCACAGACUGGGAUGUUUUCAGGACUGCUACUGACAGUCUGGAUGAGUUCACAGAGGCUGUAACUUCCUACAUCGGCUUCUGUGAGGACAGCUGUGUACCAUCAUGCACCAAGGUGAGUUACAACAACGACAAACUCUGGUUCACAGCGGAACUCAGAACACUACGCCUGCAGAAGGAUCAGGCAUUUAGGAGCGGGGACCGCUUAGCAAGGAAGUUUAGCAAGGCGGUGAGAGAUGCUAAACGACUGUACUCUGAGAAACUCCAACAACAGUUCUCAGCAAGUGACUCUGCUUCGGUUUGGAGAGGCCUCAAACACCUCACUAACUACAAGCCAAAAAAAAAACCCCACUCCAUGAAUGACCUCCGCCUGGCAGACGAGCUGCAUGAGUUCUACUGCAGAUUCGAAAGACAAUGUCCUGAUCCCAUCCCCCACAGCUCCACCAACCUGCUGCAGUCCCCCUCCCCUCCCUCCCCCAGCCCAUCAGGUGCUCACGCCUCUUCAUCUAUAUCACCUUCCCCUCCCCCACCAGCAAAGACCCUCUCUAUUCUGCAGAGAGCGUUAACCGGCUCUUUAAGACCCCGUGCAGACGGACCGUACUUGGCUGAACCCGGGUUCAUUUUUCACACCUACCCACUUUUUAAAUCGUGUGCACAUGAACCCAGUGAAUCCGAUUGACUCCACUGUAGUACAUCCCCCACACCUGUUGGUGGCGCUUUAGGUGCUACAGACAGCGUAUAAGACAUGCGCGCCGUAUACAAACGAAAACUCCACAGAAGAAGAAGAAGACGACGACUGGGUUGGAUUGCAUGCAAUCACGUGAUGUAAUCACGAGGGGGAAUCCGAUUAGGUAUGCGGAUAGCGUGCAGACGAACACCAACAGUGAUCGUAUUUCGAGUUUACUCACUUUGGACCCCCGAUUCGAGGGAGUGCGGAUACGGAGUGCGGAUACAGUGCGUUCGUCUGCGCCAUAGGGCUAUCCGGAGACGGGGUUCACGGGGUUCAGACAAACUAGAGUCCGUCUGCACGGGGUCUAAAAGACAAAAUCCCCGUAAGGCAGCCGGUCCGGACUCUGUCUCCCCUCAUACCCUGAAGCAUUGUGGUGAAUACAGUCUCCGGUGUUCACUGACAUCUUCAACACCUCCCUGUAGACAUGCCAUGUACCAGCCUGCUUCAAGGCCUCCACCAUCAUCCCUGUUCCCAAGAAGCCCAGGAUCACAGGACUCAAUGACUACAGGCCUGUCGCUCUGUAGUCAUGAAGUCUUUUGAACGGCUAGUCCUGUCCCACCUGAAGACCCUCACUGACCCCCUUCCUGGACCCAGUUCGCCUACCGAGCCAACAGGUCUGUGGACGAUGGUGUCAACAUGGCCCUCCACUACAUCCUCCAGCAUCUGGACUCCCCAGGAACCUAUGCCAGGAUCCUGUUUGUGGACUUCAGCUCUGACUUCAACACCAUUACAUUACAUGUCAUUUAGCAGACGCUUUUAUCCAAAGCGACGUACAAUAAGUGCAUUCAACCAUAGGGUACAAACUCAGGAGAACAAGAAACAAGAAAGUGCAAUUUCCUCAAAUAAGCCAAUUUACAAUUUGCUAUAGAUGAGUGACGUUACAAGUACAAUUUAAGUGCUACAAUUUGUUAGUCUUUAGUCGAGGUAGAGUCUGAAGAGGUGUGUCUUUAGUUUGCGGCGGAAGAUGUGAAGGCUCUCUGCGGUCCUGAUGUCUUCAGAGAGCUCGUUCCACCAUUUCGGCGCAAGGACAGCGAAGAGUCGAGAUCUAGUCGAGUGUUUUGCUCUCAGUGAGGGAGGGACGAGUAGUUUUGCAGAUGCAGAGCGGAGAGUGCGGGUUGGGAUGUAGGGUUUGACCAUGUCCUGGAUGUAAGCUGGACCCGAUCCAUUCACAGCAUGGUACGUGAGCACCAAUGUUUUGAACUGGAUGCGGGCGGCCACCGGUAGCCAGUGAAGAGAGCGGAGGAGUGGAGUAGUGUGGGAGAAUUUCGGAAGGUUGAAGACCCGUCGAGCUGCUGCAUUCUGAAUGAGCUGCAGAGGUCGAAUUGCGGUGGCAGGGAGACCAGCCAGGAGGGAGUUGCAGUAGUCCAGGCGGGAGAUGACAAGAGCCUGAAUCAGUACCUGCACUGCCUUCUGAGUGAGAAGGGGACGUAUUCUCCUGAUGUUGUAGAGCGUGUACCUACAGGCUCGCGUUGUCGCGGUGAUGUUGGGAGUCAGGGAGAGUUGGCUGUCGAGUGUGACGCCGAGGUUCUUAGCGGUCAAAGUGGGCGUUAGUACGGAGUUCCCAAAGUUGACUGUCAGGUCCUGGGUAAGCAAAUCUUUUCCGGGAAAGAGAAGUAGUUCAGUCUUGUCGGGGUUGAUUUUCAGAUGGUGGGCGGACAUCCACUGAGAGAUGUCAGUUAGACAGGCAGAGAUCCGAGCCGCCACCUGGGUGUCCGAGUGAGGGAAGGAGAGAAUUAGUUGGUGUCAUCGGCAUAGCUGUGGUAAGAGAAGCCAUGCGAGCGAAUGACAGCGCCAAGAGAGUUGGUGUAAAGCGAAAACAGGAGGGGACCCAGCACGGAACCCUGAGGAACUCCAGUAGUAAGAGGACAAGGUUCCGACACAGAUCCUCGCCAGGUUACCCGGUAGGUGCGGCCGUCGAGGUAGGACGAGAGAAGGGAGAGAGCAGAGCCUGUGACACCAAGUUCCUGAAGGGAGGAAAUAAGGAUCUGGUGGUUGACCGUGUCAAAUGCAGAAGAGAGGUCCAGAAGGAUGAGGACAGAGGAG
This is a long non-coding RNA of Gasterosteus aculeatus aculeatus (three-spined stickleback), 4136 nucleotides long. The record is from Ensembl. Lineage: Eukaryota; Metazoa; Chordata; Actinopteri; Perciformes; Gasterosteidae.